This 26-nucleotide non-coding RNA is filed under the name Cricetulus griseus (Chinese hamster). Lineage: Eukaryota; Metazoa; Chordata; Mammalia; Rodentia; Cricetidae. The record is from RNAcentral.
UAGAGUCUAGACCCAGAAAGCCAGGG